This 432-nucleotide ribosomal RNA is filed under the name uncultured bacterium. RNAcentral's name for it is "bacterial SSU rRNA". It matches the Rfam family "Bacterial small subunit ribosomal RNA", at positions 359 to 783 of the family's 1533-position model. The record is from RNAcentral.
GAAUAUUGCACAAUUGGCGCAAGCGUGAUGCAGCCAUGCCGCGUGUAUGAAGAAGGCAUUCGGGUUGUAAAGUACUUUCAGCGAGGAGGAAGGCGUUAAGGUUAAUAACCUUGGCGAUAGACGUUACUCGCAGAAGAAGCACCGGCUAAAUCCGUGCCAGCAGCCGCGGUAAUACGGAGGGUGCAAGCGUUUAUUGGAAUUACUGGGCGUAAAGCGCAGGCAGGCGGUCUGUUAAGUCAGAUGUGAAAUCCCCGGGCUCAACCUGGGAACUGCAUUUGAAACUGGCAGGCUUGAGUCUUGUAGAGGGGGGUAGAAUUCCAGGUGUAGCGGUGAAAUGCGUAGAGAUCUGGAGGAAUACCGGUGGCGAAGGCGGCCCCCUGGACAAAGACUGACGCUCAGGUGCGAAAGCGUGGGGAGCAAACAGGAUUAGAU